This is a long non-coding RNA of Ipomoea nil (Japanese morning glory), 815 nucleotides long. RefSeq lists it as uncharacterized. The record is from RefSeq and is a predicted model, not a curated record. NCBI's taxonomy places the organism in Eukaryota, Viridiplantae, Streptophyta, Magnoliopsida, Solanales, Convolvulaceae. The transcript is spliced from 5 exons.
UGUUUUGUUUGAUUGUGAAUAUGAAGCUCACGUGUCUGAUUUCGGAACAGCAAGAAUAUUGAGUCUUCAUUCAUCAAAUUGGACUUCAUUUGCAGGAACAUUUGGCUAUGCAGCUCCAGAGUUUGCUUAUACUAUGGAGGUCACGGAAAAGUGUGAUGUGUAUAGCUUCGGAGUACUAGCACUAGAAGUGAUUAUGGGUAAACAUCCAGGUGACCUCAUUACGUCCAUUUUUUCAUCCCCAACCUCAACCGCUCAUGGAAUACUACUUUUAAAAGAUGUGUUGGAUUCUCGACUCUCUACUCCAACAAAGCAGGAAGCAGCGGAAGAGUUGAUUUUGGUUGCCAAGAUAGCAAUUGCAUGUUUAAAUAUGAAUCCACAAUGUCGUCCAAGCAUGCGACAGGUUUCUGUGUUGCUAAGCAAAGAAAGACAAUAUUCCUCCUCAAAUUCACUUUCACAGAUCACAAUAAGCCAAUUGUUCGGUCUUGAAUUUCCUACUCCCUAGAGGGUAGAGUAGGUUGAAGUCUUAUUCAUGCCAGGCCGGGCCUUGGAUUCUUUGCUUGGAAUUGAAUACAACUAACAUAGAUCAGAUCCAGAGUUCGCUUAUACUAUGGAGAUCACCGAAAAAUGUGAUGUGUAUAGUUUUGGAGGUGCUAGCACUAGAAGUUGAUGUGAUCUGAUCUGUUCUGCUUCACCCAAUUCAAGAAUCUCUCUCUACUAUAUAUGAUUAAGCCUUUUUCUGGGAUUAUGAAUGUUCCAAUUCGAUCUGCAAAAACCACACCAACGCUUCUCAGGCAUGCAUGCCUUGGAUUCAUUCU